This 468-nucleotide ribosomal RNA is filed under the name uncultured bacterium. RNAcentral describes it as "partial 16S ribosomal RNA". It matches the Rfam family "Bacterial small subunit ribosomal RNA", at positions 28 to 507 of the family's 1533-position model. The record is from RNAcentral.
GACGAACGCUGGCGGCGUGCUUAACACAUGCAAGUCGAACGGAAAGGCCCUGCUUUUGUGGGGUGCUCGAGUGGCGAACGGGUGAGUAACACGUGAGUAACCUGCCCUUGACUUUGGGAUAACUUCAGGAAACUGGGGCUAAUACCGGAUAGGAGCUCCUGCUGCAUGGUGGGGGUUGGAAAGUUUCGGCGGUUGGGGAUGGACUCGCGGCUUAUCAGCUUGUUGGUGGGGUAGUGGCUUACCAAGGCUUUGACGGGUAGCCGGCCUGAGAGGGUGACCGGCCACAUUGGGACUGAGGUACGGCCCAGACGCCUACGGGAGGCAGCAGGGGGGAAUAUUGCACAAUGGGCGGGAGCCUGAUGCAGCAACGCCGCGUGCGGGAUGACGGCCUUCGGGUUGUAAACCGCUUUCGCCUGUGACGAAGCGUGAGUGACGGUAAUGGGUAAAGAAGCACCGGCUAACUACGUG